Molecule: non-coding RNA, 78 nt
Organism: Podarcis lilfordi (Lilford's wall lizard)
Lineage: Eukaryota; Metazoa; Chordata; Lepidosauria; Squamata; Lacertidae
Source: the annotation of a GenBank genome assembly
ACCUUAUUGGAUAGCUCACUCAGUAGAGCAUGAGACUUCUUAAUUUUAGGGCCAUGAGUUCGAGCCCCAUGUUGGGCA